Molecule: ribosomal RNA, 355 nt
Filed under: Nematinus luteus
Lineage: Eukaryota; Metazoa; Arthropoda; Insecta; Hymenoptera; Tenthredinidae
Description: partial 12S ribosomal RNA
Source: RNAcentral
UUAAGAUGUAAAAAUUAAUGAGAAGAUUAAUAGUUAAGUUCUUUAAACUUAAAAAAAUUGGCGGUAUUUAACUCUAAUUAGGGGAAUUUGUCUUUAAAAUGAUAAUCCUCAAGAAACCUUACUUUAAUUUAUUUAAUUUAUUUAUUUCCGUUAACAGAUUAUUUUUUUUUAGAAUAAAAAUUUUCUAAAAUUUUUAUUAGAAAUUAUUUCAGGUCAUUAUGUAGUUUAUAUUAAAGUUAAGAUGAAUUACAAUAAAAUAAAUUUAUAUGGAAAUUUUAUUGAAAAUAUAAAAUUAAAAGUGGACUUAAUAGUAAAAUAAAAUAUUAUAUUUAUUUGAAUUUAGAAUUAAAUAUGU